UCGCGGCUUAUCACCGGCAGUCCCCUUAGAGUGCCCAACUAAAUGAUGGCAACUAAGGGCGAGGGUUGCGCUCGUUGCGGGACUUAACCCAACAUCUCACGACACGAGCUGACGACAGCCAUGCACCACCUGUGAUCCUGCCCCUAAGGGAAACCGUGUUUCCACGGCGGUCAGGAACAUGUCAAACCCAGGUAAGGUUCUUCGCGUUUCGUCGAAUUAAACCACAUGCUCCGCUGCUUGUGCGGGUCCCCGUCAAUUCCUUUGAGUUUUAAUCUUGCGACCGUACUCCCCAGGCGGAAUGCUUAAUGCGUUAGCUGCGGCACCGAAGGGGUCGUUCCCCCCGGCACCUAGUGCCCAUCGUUUACGGCGUGGACUAC
RNAcentral lists this unclassified non-coding RNA (377 nucleotides) under uncultured bacterium. RNAcentral's name for it is "contains 16S-23S intergenic spacer region". The record is from RNAcentral.